AGAGUUUGAUCCUGGCUCAGGACGAACGCUGGCGGCACGCUUAACACAUGCAAGUCGAACGAGAGAAGAGGAGCUUGCUUUUCUGAUCUAGUGGCGGACGGGUGAGUAACACGUGAGCAAUCUGCCUUUCAGAGGGGGAUACCGAUUGGAAACGAUCGUUAAUACCGCAUAACAUAAUUGAACCGCAUGAUUUGAUUAUCAAAGAUUUAUCGCUGAAAGAUGAGCUCGCGUCUGAUUAGCUAGUUGGUAAGGUAACGGCUUACCAAGGCGACGAUCAGUAGCCGGACUGAGAGGUUGAUCGGCCACAUUGGGACUGAGACACGGCCCAGACUCCUACGGGAGGCAGCAGUGGGGAAUAUUGCACAAUGGAGGAAACUCUGAUGCAGCGAUGCCGCGUGAGGGAAGAAGGUUUUAGGAUUGUAAACCUCUGUCUUCAGGGACGAAAAAAGACGGUACCUGAGGAGGAAGCUUCGGCUAACUACGUGCCAGCAGCCGCGGUAAUACGUAGGGAGCGAGCGUUGUCCGGAAUUACUGGGUGUAAAGGGAGCGUAGGCGGGAUCGCAAGUCAGAUGUGAAAACUAUGGGCUUAACCCAUAAACUGCAUUUGAAACUGUGGUUCUUGAGUGAAGUAGAGGUAAGCGGAAUUCCUAGUGUAGCGGUGAAAUGCGUAGAUAUUAGGAGGAACAUCAGUGGCGAAGGCGGCUUACUGGGCUUUAACUGACGCUGAGGCUCGAAAGCGUGGGGAGCAAACAGGAUUAGAUACCCUGGUAGUCCACGCCGUAAACGAUGAUUACUAGGUGUGGGGGGACUGACCCCUUCCGUGCCGCAGCAAACGCAAUAAGUAAUCCACCUGGGGAGUACGACCGCAAGGUUGAAACUCAAAGGAAUUGACGGGGGCCCGCACAAGCAGUGGAGUAUGUGGAUUAAUUCGAAGCAACGCGAAGAACCUUACCAGGUCUUGACAUCGUAUGCAUAGCUCAGAGAUGAGUGAAAUCUCUUCGGAGACAUAUAGACAGGUGGUGCAUGGUUGUCGUCAGCUCGUGUCGUGAGAUGUUGGGUUAAGUCCCGCAACGAGCGCAACCCUUACUGUUAGUUGCUACGCAAGAGCACUCUAGCAGGACUGCCGUUGACAAAACGGAGGAAGGUGGGGAUGACGUCAAAUCAUCAUGCCCCUUAUGACCUGGGCCUCACACGUACUACAAUGGCUGUCAACAGAGGGAAGCAAAGCCGCGAGGUGGAGCGAACCCCUAAAAGCAGUCUUAGUUCGGAUUGUAGGCUGCAACCCGCCUACAUGAAGUCGGAAUUGCUAGUAAUCGCAGAUCAGCAUGCUGCGGUGAAUACGUUCCCGGGCCUUGUACACACCGCCCGUCACGCCAUGGGAGUCGGUAACACCCGAAGCCUGUAGUCUAACCGCAAGGAGGACGCAGUCGAAGGUGGGAUUGAUGACUGGGGUGAAGUCGGAACAAGGUA
Molecule: ribosomal RNA, 1470 nt
Filed under: metagenome
Description: bacterial SSU rRNA
Rfam family: Bacterial small subunit ribosomal RNA
Source: RNAcentral